CCUACGGGAGGCAGCAGUAGGGAAUAUUGCUCAAUGGGCGAAACCCUGAACCAGCAACGCCGCGUGGAGGAUGAAGGUUUUCGGAUUGUAAACUCCUUUUGUUAGAGAAGAUAAUGACGGUAUCUAACGAAUAAGCACCGGUUAACUCCGUGCCAGCAGCCGGGGUAAUACGGAGGGUGCAAGCGUUACUCGGAAUCACUGGGCGUAAACAGCGCGUAGGAGGGAUAGCAAGUCAGAUGUUAAAUCCUAGGGCUGAACCAUAGAACUGCAUUUGAAACUGUUAGUCUAGAGGAUGGGAGAGGUAGGUGGAAGUCGUGGUGUAGGGGUAAAAUGCGUAGAGAUCAAGAAGAAUACUGAUUGCGAAGGCGGCCUGCUAGAACAUAACUGACGCUGAUGCGCGAAAGCGUGGGGAGCAAACAGGAUUAGAUACCCGAGUAGUC
RNAcentral lists this ribosomal RNA (440 nucleotides) under uncultured bacterium. Its description in RNAcentral is "partial 16S ribosomal RNA". It matches the Rfam family "Bacterial small subunit ribosomal RNA", at positions 338 to 795 of the family's 1533-position model. The record is from RNAcentral.